UACGUAGGGUGCGAGCGUUGUCCGGAAUUACUGGGCGUAAAGAGCUCGUAGGUGGUUUGUCGCGUUGUCCGUGAAAACUCACAACUCAAUUGUGGGCGUGCGGGCGAUACGGGCAGACUGGAGUACUGCAGGGGAGCCUGGAAUUCCUGGUGUAGCGGUGAAAUGCGCAGAUAUCAGGAAGAACACCCGUGGCGAAGGCGGUUCUCUGGGACGGUACUGACGCUGAGACGCGAAAGCGUGGGGAGCGAACAGG
Molecule: ribosomal RNA, 253 nt
Filed under: uncultured bacterium
Lineage: Bacteria
Description: partial 16S ribosomal RNA
Rfam family: Bacterial small subunit ribosomal RNA
Source: RNAcentral